AAGGCGUACCGAUAGGUGGUUUUACAAGUCAGAAGUGAAAUCUCUCAGCUUAACUGGGAGACUGUCUUUUGAAACUGUAAAACUAGAGGGGCAAAGAGGAAGCUGGAACAAGCGGUGUAGUAGUGAAAUGCGUUGAUAUCGCUUGGAACACCAAUAGCGUAGGCAGGCUUCUGGGUGCCACCUGACACUGCUAGGACGAAAGCGUGGGGAGCGAAUGGGAUUAGAUACCCCAGUAGUCCACGCUGUAAACGAUGAUGAUUAGGUGCUAGGGAGUAUCGACCCUCCUUAGUACCAUAGCUAACGCGUUAAAUCAUCCGCCUGGGGAGUACGGCCGCAAGGCUAAAACUCAAAGGAAUUGACGGGGACCUGCACAAGCGGUGGAGCAUGUGGUUUAAUUCGACGGUAAGCGAGGAACCUUACCAAGGCUUGACAUGUAGCUGCAUCCCUCAGAAAUGAGGGCGCCUUCGAGGGUGCUACACAGGUGCUGCACGGUUGUCGUCAGCUCGUGCCGUGAGGUGUUCACUUAAGUGUGAAAACGAGCGCAACCCCUACGGUGAGUUACAAGUGUCUCACAGAACUGCCCGCGUUUAAGCGGGAGGAAGGUGGGGAUGACGUCAAAUCAGCGUGGCUCUUACGCCUUGGGCGACACACGUGCUACAAUGGGAAGUGCAAAGGGACGCCAAACCGCAAGGUGGAGCAAAUCCUAUCAAUACUUCCCCCAGUUCGGAUCGAGGGCUGCAACUCGCCCUCGUGAAGCCGGAAUCGCUAGUAACCGUAUAUCAGCCUCGAUACGGUGAAUACGUUCUCAGGUUUUGUACACACCGCCCGUCAAGCCAUGGAAGCAGGAAGCGGCUAAAGUUCACCCAGUAGGGUGGCCUAAGCCGAAGCUUGUAACUGGGGCUAAGUCGUAACAAGGUAA
RNAcentral lists this ribosomal RNA (919 nucleotides) under uncultured bacterium. RNAcentral describes it as "bacterial SSU rRNA". It matches the Rfam family "Bacterial small subunit ribosomal RNA", at positions 562 to 1499 of the family's 1533-position model. The record is from RNAcentral.